UUGUCAUGACAGGGGUGCCGUUAGGCUGAGACAGUCCCUUAUGACCUGAUCUAGUUAAUGCUAGCGUAGGGAGUCAUAUCUAUCUUAUU
Non-coding RNA from Erysipelotrichaceae bacterium 3_1_53, 89 nucleotides. Lineage: Bacteria; Bacillati; Bacillota; Erysipelotrichia; Erysipelotrichales; Erysipelotrichaceae. The record is from Rfam.